UUUAGUUGCUAACGGUUCGGCCGAGCACUCUAAAUAGACUGCCUUCGUAAGGAGGAGGAAGGUGUGGACGACGUCAAGUCAUCAUGGCCCUUAUGCCCAGGGCGACACACGUGCUACAAUGGCAUAUACAAUGAGACGCAAUACCGCGAGGUGGAGCAAAUCUAUAAAAUAUGUCCCAGUUCGGAUUGUUCUCUGCAACUCGAGAGCAUGAAGCCGGAAUCGCUAGUAAUCGUAGAUCAGCCAUGCUACGGUGAAUACGUUCCCGGGUCUUGUACUCACCGCCCGUCACACCAUGGGAGUUGAUUUCACUCGAAGCCGGAAUACUAAACUAGUUACCGUCCACAGUGGAAUCAGCGACUGGGGUGAAGUCGUAACAAGGUAACCGUAGGAGAACCUGCGGUUGGAUCACCUCCUUUCUAG
Molecule: ribosomal RNA, 420 nt
Filed under: Campylobacter jejuni
Lineage: Bacteria; Pseudomonadati; Campylobacterota; Epsilonproteobacteria; Campylobacterales; Campylobacteraceae
Description: bacterial SSU rRNA
Rfam family: Bacterial small subunit ribosomal RNA
Source: RNAcentral